RNAcentral lists this long non-coding RNA (1755 nucleotides) under Sorghum bicolor (sorghum). Its description in RNAcentral is "long non-coding RNA (SBIC_LNC005282)". Lineage: Eukaryota; Viridiplantae; Streptophyta; Magnoliopsida; Poales; Poaceae. The record is from RNAcentral.
CACCUAAGUAGAUCUCUAUAAAUGCUGUCAUGCUAUCUUUGUCUAUUCAUAAGCAAGUGUUGGUUUGGAAGUACUGAACAUACUUCCAUUGACAUUUAAAUUAAGCGUGGUGCUUAGGUUAAAUAGCCUUCCUUAAUCUGAUUAGACAUGGAGUCUAGUUUGGUUACUGAACUAAAAACUGCUUGAGUAGGCAUUGGUAUAUUUUGUCGGACUAACCCCUGCAGGAAAACUUUCAAUAUCAACCUGGGAAGUCCUGAGAUACAAACUCACAUUGGAGAUAAAGGAGACACAUGAAGUUUAACGAUUUGCACAAGGAAGGACAUAGCGCAUUCAUCAUAGAGAGAUGAUCCAUGGAACGAGACAAAGAGUGCCACAAACACGAUGCACAACCGCUAAGAAAGGAAAGCUUCCACAAGGUGAGAUGGUACCAUCACUCUUCAAUUAAGGUAACAUCUUAAGGUAUGUGAAUAUCACUUUUCUAAGCUUCUCCUUGGUUCUGGCGUUCACAUAAAAUAAAGAGACAAACAUGUAUGAUUUAUAACUCCAAAUUAACCAACCCAACUGAUUCAGCAUGUUUAGUCCUUUAAUCUUUGUUCCGAGUACUACCUCCAUGAUCCUACACUCCUAAUCAUAUGAGCUAAAAUGUUGCACAUUCAAUCUUUGAGAAGAUAUAAAGAAAAAGACUUAUACAUAGAUAGAUUAUCUUUCCACAAGGUUGCCGGUUAAAAUGCUACAUCGGUAUUAAUCUGUGCGCUUGCAGAUCCCAUUCAUUGCAUAUUUCAAUACCGCGUCUCUCAUGUCAUGCUGGGGAUGACAACUUGGCUUAAGUGGUAUGAGGGAUAGGUUUGGCAUUUUUCGCACCGUUACUAGAAUUAGAAAACUGUCUACUUUUGGUAAUGAUGUUAAGAAUACCCAACACAUGUGUGGUGAAUGAAUGGUGUAUGGUGAUAAUGGUGAUAAUGAUGAAAACAAUGGUGAAAGUCUAAUUCUACGUUUGCUCUUUUGAGGGGAUACAUACCUUUCUUGCACUUUGAAGUUUGAGGGGAAUGAGAUGCUCUAUAUUUUCUUUUUCUUUUUUUUUCUUUUCUCUUAGGUGGGUAUCUUGUACCCCUAAUUGUACUGUCGGACACUUGUCCAUUUUUACCUCUCGUCUUACUCUUUUUUUUCCUUCGAGGUUCCGGGCACUUGCCCCUUUUUAUUUCCUCGUAUAUUUUUUCUUUUCUCUUUUUUUUUCCAGAGCACUCACCCUCCUAGAAUAAUGUAGCAAGUGGUAGUAACCAAAAUAUCCAGAGCAUUUAUUUCACGGGGAAUAACAGGGAUAGGAUAAUAUUUUUGGCUAUUCUCUCUUGGAUAGGAGUAGAAUAAUUUUAUGUGAAUCUGGAGAUGGAAAUGAAUGGAUGUAUGUAGAUGCGUACUUUCGGAGUAGAAGCAGCAUUUAUGAGUGAACGUGCAAGUGAAUCUUGAUUUUAACCACAUGACAAGCUCCCAAGGGUCUACACAGCUUGACCACACUCAAUGCUCAUAAGCAGUAAAAAGUAAAUGUAUGGUUCAUAGUCUAAUAAGCAUGUAUAUAUGGCUGUGGUAGGAUUUUAAACUCUCAUCAUACAAGAACUCAUCAUGCAACAUUUUAAAGAUUUUGAAAGAUAAAAUUCUCUAGAAUUCUAGCAUCUCUAGGAACAAAUAAACAACAGCUCAACCUUCCCAUAUCAUAUCCGUUAACGACUUAGACUUUAGAUCAAGCACUCUUCCCACAAG